RNAcentral lists this transfer RNA (64 nucleotides) under Dipodomys ordii (Ord's kangaroo rat). It matches the Rfam family "tRNA". From Rfam's summary of the family: Transfer RNA (tRNA) molecules are approximately 80 nucleotides in length. Their secondary structure includes four short double-helical elements and three loops (D, anti-codon, and T loops). The record is from Rfam by way of RNAcentral. Lineage: Eukaryota; Metazoa; Chordata; Mammalia; Rodentia; Heteromyidae.
GGUGACUCAGUGGUAGAGUGCUUGCCUUGCAUGCGUGAGGCCCUGGGUUCGAUCCUCAGAACCA